Molecule: ribosomal RNA, 758 nt
Filed under: uncultured Stenotrophomonas sp.
Lineage: Bacteria; Pseudomonadati; Pseudomonadota; Gammaproteobacteria; Lysobacterales; Lysobacteraceae
Description: bacterial SSU rRNA
Rfam family: Bacterial small subunit ribosomal RNA
Source: RNAcentral
AGUGAACGCUGGCGGUAGGCCUAACACAUGCAAGUCGAACGGCAGCACAGGAGAGCUUGCUCUCUGGGUGGCGAGUGGCGGACGGGUGAGGAAUACAUCGGAAUCUACUUUGUCGUGGGGGAUAACGUAGGGAAACUUACGCUAAUACCGCAUACGACCUACGGGUGAAAGCAGGGGAUCUUCGGACCUUGCGCGAUUGAAUGAGCCGAUGUCGGAUUAGCUAGUUGGCGGGGUAAAGGCCCACCAAGGCGACGAUCCGUAGCUGGUCUGAGAGGAUGAUCAGCCACACUGGAACUGAGACACGGUCCAGACUCCUACGGGAGGCAGCAGUGGGGAAUAUUGGACAAUGGGCGCAAGCCUGAUCCAGCCAUACCGCGUGGGUGAAGAAGGCCUUCGGGUUGUAAAGCCCUUUUGUUGGGAAAGAAAUCCAGCCGGCUAAUACCUGGUUGGGAUGACGGUACCCAAAGAAUAAGCACCGGCUAACUUCGUGCCAGCAGCCGCGGUAAUACGAAGGGUGCAAGCGUUACUCGGAGUUACUGGGCGUAAAGCGUGCGUAGGUGGUUAUUUAAGUCCGUUGUGAAAAGCCCUGGGCUCAACCUGGGAACUGCAGUGGAUACUGGAUGACUAGAAUGUGGUAGAGGGGUAGCGGAAUUCCUGGUGUAGCAGUGAAAUGCGUAAAGAUCAGGAGGAACAUCCAUGGCGAAGGCAGCUACCUGGACCAACAUGACACUGAGGGACAAAAAACGGGGGGCCAACAA